Molecule: small RNA, 26 nt
Filed under: Bombyx mori (domestic silkworm)
Lineage: Eukaryota; Metazoa; Arthropoda; Insecta; Lepidoptera; Bombycidae
Description: ovarian small RNA-29998
Source: RNAcentral
UCUGGAAAUCAACCCGGCUAAUGAAU